Drosophila sechellia is the source of this 15417-nucleotide long non-coding RNA. RefSeq lists it as uncharacterized. The transcript has 3 exons. Lineage: Eukaryota; Metazoa; Arthropoda; Insecta; Diptera; Drosophilidae. The record is from RefSeq and is a predicted model, not a curated record.
ACAGUGCCAUCGAAAAGAAGGAGGAGGCGGUGAGCCGGACUCAGCACUUGGGAAUUUUAGUGUGUAGAGUGUUGAGUAUGGAGUAGGACUGUCGCUGGCAUCUGGUCACACUGUUAAGGGGGUUCUUGUCAAGUAACGUGCCGGGAUUCUUUCAAUUCUCGAAUCUUUAAGACUCAAUAGUGUCUUCGAACAAGUGUAGUGUACCUAACGUUUGAAUUGCCCAAAAAAAUUUGCAACUUUUUUACGACGCAGUUGCAAAAAAAACAAAGCAAGCCAGCCAAGAGCAACUUAAACGACGUAUUUAACAAUACAAAAAAACGAAAAAACCUAAAGCGAGAGAGGCGAAACUAGGGGAACACAACAACAAACGCGACAACAACAAGAAUUAAAAACAAACUCGCUCGCGACUUUUGAGCCUCGCAACUGAAUAAUUAAAAUUAGAAGCGGAAAAGUAAAUACAAAAAAAACAAUAAAUAAAUUUCAAAUAAAGAACCCGAAACGCUUAUACACAUACGUACGUAUAUAAGUAUUUGGAAAGAACAAAAAAUGGCGCACAAAGAAACUGUGAACUUAUACAAUCAAAAAAUUUUUAUUUGAUUGCAUGUCCAUAUAUAUGUAUGUGUACAUGUGAACUUUGUACCAGUGACAAUGAGACGACAGACGCAGAUGAUGAUUAAGGCAGCGAUGAUGAAUGAAACUGUACCCUACGCUGAUGUACGACCGAUGUACUAUCAAUAAAAGGGCCUAGAAGAUACCGAGAUAUAAGAUAAAUCAAAACAAACACACCAUAUAACAGAGUUGUGCGGUGAGAGUGGAUAAGCUCUAUAUACACACUCUUUUGGCGGCGUGCAUUGAACUAAUUUGUCGUUGUUGCUCUUGCUGUUUUUUGUACGCGACUAGUUUUCCUCGUUUCGUUUCUUUUGCCUUUUUAUAAUACCCUCUGUGUAUUUAUUUAAAGCGCAAAUGUUUUAGAUACGACAUAUAGCCAGGGGGAGGGCGGCGAUGGGGUCUACGAGGGGGCGGGGACCAGACCAGAGCUAGCCAGUCAGACCGCUGUCGACAAAUAAAACAACAAAGUAAACUACAGAAACAACUAAAAGGCAAACUUGCCUAUCUGCCUAGCCUUAUAUUGAUGUUGUUGGUGUGUUGUUGUAGCUGCUCUUGUUGUUGCUGAAUUUCAGUGCGUGUGCUCAGCAUUUAACUAAACUGGCACACACGCACACCAACACCAGCGAACGGAAAACGAAAAAAAAUUAAAACACACCAACAGCUACACCAACACUCAACAACAGCCACACAAAGAGGCACACCAACACUAUCACACUGAGUUGUCAGGGCUGGCAGUCUAGUGCUUAUAUAAUCACCGUCUAAUGGGCUUUGUUUCGCCCUUGUGUGCAUGCAAUGCAACUCGAACAGCUGUUUGCCAUAACACAAAACAGCUGUUCCACUGCAAGUCCUAAAAAAGAAGAAAUAAGUAAAGAACAACAAAAAGAGCGACUGCGACGCCGGCUGCGCAGCCAUGUGUCCUUACAGCAGUCAUUGUGAGAGACUUUCUUGCGCACCAAAAAAUAUCAAGUAUACGCAACCGACACCGCAAUCGGAAGAGCGAGCGAGCACCGAGUGGUCUCUCCGCGCGGCGUUGCCAGAUUGUCAUUUACUGUUAUUCAAGUGAAUCCAUGUACAGGCAAACUUCGCAAAGGGGAACCACAGUUGUACCGGUAAAUUAAUUAAAACUAUUUAUUAAGCGUUAAAAUAUCUCUUAAUGGUUAUACUUAAAAUAAAUAUUUCGUUUCGUAUAAAUCACAAACACUAACAGUGCUCCAAAUAAUAUAUAUUCUUUCGAAUUGAGCUUGAUCUAAGUAAACUUGAUAAUUAAUAUUGUAGUGUGAGCACUAAAACGGUGUUGCAUUCUUUUGAAAACGUUUUAUCCCGGUAAGCCUAUAUCCCAGGCAAUUUUUGUAAAAUUAUUGAGUUUAAAAUAUUUAUUUUGUACUACAUUUUUCAAAUUUCGUUCAGAAGGGCAAAUGGUUUUCAAUUACAGAAGUUGAAUGCAACCCAGUUAGCCUAGAUCGAGCGUAUUUGAAUGAAAUUAAUUAAUUCGAUAAUUGAACAUUGUUACGAGUAUUAUUAAUAUUUUUUGUGCGCCUCUGGUAAUUUGAAACCCAUUAGGGUUGCCAAAGCGCCGCGGUAAUUUGGUGAGCAGCAAAACUAGUGCGCAAAAUGAGUUUGCAGCCCCAAUGCGUAUUGUCCGUACUAUAUAGUACGUAAUAAACAGCCAAGACGCAAUAUGCGAAGCUUCAAUACAGAGCCGACAGAUACGGAUACAGAUGGGCACACACUAAAUAGUUUUUCGGAAGGGGUUUUCGGGCUGUCGGGCUCUCGGGCCAUCGGGGGCCGAGGCCUAUCCAGUUCUCAAUGGUUGCUGGUGUUAUUGUUGUACUUGGAGGCGCCUUCUUCGAGCCUCAAGUUCGCAUCGAGGGAAUGAACUGACAAACGAGUCGCCAUGUGUAUCUGUGUUUAUAGUUAUUGUUGUAUGGUAGUUUUUUCAGCUUGUUGUAGUAGUUUCUGUCUUUCUAUUAUAUUUAAAUGCGCAAUUAAGAUUGGCACUGCCCGUGGCAGCGCAACAACAACACUAACCACAAGAAAACAACAGCAACAGAAGCGGUAACAAGAUCAAAGUAUUCACAAAAUUGAACCAGUUUGAGUUUUACGCAUUUAUCAUUCGUCGUCCGAAUCUGAUCAAAAUCGCACAACCUAAAUCCGCGAACAGCAGAUCUUUGGCUGCAGAUAAAAAACACGAGCCAAGAAUUAAAAUAAUUUCGUUUUCUGGGGGUAAAAUUAAGUUAAACACUUAACCACAUGCUCCAUGUUCCAUAUUCGUGAUUGAUCGAUCCGAUUUGACACCAAUAUUUUGCUUAAUUUGUGGGAACCAAAACAUAAUGGCAAGACAUUAAGGGUUUAACUACAAAUUGGUAAGGCAGGAAUGUUUGUCAAGCCUCCAAUUAGCGUGUUGCUUUCUCUUCAAAUGAUAAUGUCACAUUGAGGAAAAUACGUUUAGUCAGAAAAUCACAAUAUAUUUCGAUUUCUGUUAUUUUUUAUCGAAUUUUAUUGAAGAUUUUUAAAAUCCAAUAUUUUGUAUAAAGAUCUCUAAGACAUCAAGUAUACGCCAACAUACUGAGUUAGCCAAGAGCUUUGAAACAAAAUAUUACUUAUACGUCUGGUAAAAAUUAAAUUUCCCAGCUUAAAACUAUAAAACUUCUCUCGAGCUGCAGUAAACUUAAAUGUUCCCAAAAUAUUUAUUUUAAAGACACCCUCUAUCCUAGAUGCUCUAUGACAUUUUAUGGCUUUUAAUUGACCAGACGCUGUCGCACAUGUCCAACGAUAAUGAUCCGUUUAGUUAUUUUCGUAUAGACAGCGAUUUAUUUAUAAAUGCCGCGACGGAUCUCUCCUUCUGCCAGCUAUAUUCUGGUGGCUAUAUCUGCCACAGUGUCUGCCAUAAUUAGGCGCACAGUUGGCGCAAUUAAGGCGCUGGCCAAAGUCUUUUACAAGCGAAAGUCAUCGAGCAGCAUAAAUAAUCGCAAUCCAAAUACGCGGCCAAACAAAUAUUAACAAGAUCUGAGAUCUGAGAGGAAAUCGCGGCACUGCCUGGAAAUCGUUUAGCUUCUUCGUUCUUUUUUUUUUUCUUUUUUUUGUUUGGCUCUGACGUAAAAUGGCCCGAGUCAAUUUCGAUUUCAUUCAGCUCUCGAUGACGUACACAUUGGCCUCUCAACGACCACCGCCCACCGCCCACCGCACACUGCCCCUUUACAUUGCCGCAGCAGACAACCUUGUAAAGUUUUUGUGCGUCAUUUGCCGCUGUUAUUUUUUCAGCAGCGAUUUCCACGGCUCUUUCCCUUCUGGGCAGCAGUUGUUUUGCAAUUUUAUCGCCGCCGCAUCUCCAAUAAUAAUAUCAACUCUGUACUGUAAAAGUCCAGGACCUGCACAAAUUACACAGAUAUAUGUACAUAAGUUCGUAAGACUCCCUGCGUGCGUCAUAGUUUUCUGUAAUUCUCGAUCUCUUUACUGCCUGGCCAUUUCCAUAUCUACUUGCGGAGGAACUAUAUGUACAUAUAUAUUCCUAAUCUGUCGGCGGUCGUUGAUCGCACUCAUCGAGUUUCCCCGAAAGUGACUAAGUGCAUGGCUACUUUCUCGGCUAUUCUGGGCUUAUUUGCAUAUGGACUUGGAGCUGCUCAUGGACUGGUUCAUAGGUCGCCUGUGAGUCAAUCUGCAAAUGUGUAAAUCCGAUUUCCUAUUCUGGGAACUAUCGUUGAUCGUUGCCGUUUUCUAAUCUAUAUAAAUACCAAGGGUCGAUAGAAUUUCAGAGAACUCUAAGUGAAUCAGCGGACUUAGUAAUUAGUUUUUGACGAGUUGCGACGAGUUUUUAAAUACUUUUCGCCAAGCGCCACCAUAUGUCUGUUUUUAGCAAUAAUAUGAUAUUCACAAAGUAAUUACAUGAAUGUAUUAUGUAUGUUGGAGUGAAGCAGACCCUAAAUAGUGCAGACUCGGGACAAUUCAGGCAAAUGCGAGGGAUUCGAGUGGCUGACUGGCUGGGUAUCAGAACCGACCACAUCGCCUUGGGUAGUCGUAUUCAGAUACAUGUGCCCCCCGUCCAUGUGCCAUAUCAAAUCCUAUAUAAUCCGAACAAGAGGCUGGGAAUCAAGCGUUCAUUCAAGCGACUUAUUUAGACACUCGCUCGCAUUUGGACUUGAAUGAGUUAGUUGUGUUGUUUGCUGUUGCUCGGUUUACUUCCGCUGCUACUAUAAUGGGUGUACGCGAGUGUGCACGUGUGUGGGUGUGUGGGUGUCGUGAGCGUAUAUGUGCGGAUCUGAGUGUGGGUGCAUGUGUGUAUUAUGUUUUUGUCGCUGCCUGCGAUUUUCAUUCAUUAAAUGCAAGCGCAGCACACACACACACAUGCGCCGAUUGCGACGGCACGCACACACGAAUACGUAUUCGAUUCAUUCAUAAAUUCAUGCAGCAGCAGCAACAAACGCCGCCCCCUCCUCCCACGCCCACACUGCGGCCUCUGCCACUGGCUCUGCCUGCGUCGGCGUCUCGUAUCAUCGCUCCAACAACAAAAGCGGCAGCACUACGGCAGCAGCAACCUCAAAUGCGCUCUUGCUGCUGCUGCCGAUGCACUGAAAGAAACGGAGUGAAAUAUCCCCUUGCUGGAAAUAAUAGUUUUUGCUGGUUAGUGUGCAUUUUUGACCACAGAACCUUUUUAAGUUAUUGUUUAAUGAAAAAUUUACCACUUGGCAGAAAAAUAAUGUAGCCUACUUACCAGCUUUCAAAGCUAUAGAGAUUUACAAAAUAUUUGUUUAUUCAAGCCCGAUUUCUUUUUGUGUCCCCUUGGUUUAUCUAUGCCAAACAUCGCACCGUGGUUCCCGUUUCCAGUCUCCAUUUCCACAAUUUCCCCAUUUCCCCCUCCACCGCCAGCGGCGGCUUCGUUGCAUUUUAUAGAUUCGUUCUAAAUUUCAAUGAAAUUUCAUUGAGCACGCAGAGCACGGAAGCAACAACACCAUCAACCAUCGCUGAUAACUUCGGAUCGGAUCCCUAUCUCUAUCGUAUGUCGUUGUUUGCUAUGGGGUCAGUCAUUCAAUAGGAUCGACCCGAGCAUAGCUUGUCCCAUCCAAGUUCCCUUAAUGUGCUGAUUUCGUCCAUUCACAAUAUACGAUUGUGUACACAAUUAUGGUAAUAAUAUAAUAAAAACUCUAUUAAACGUACUUCCGGUACGCGAUUAUACCAAUAAACUACAAAAAUAAAUGAGAACUAUAAAUAAAUGGUGUAUACGCUACAGUAUCGAUACAGUGUCAGUCGGAGUCAAGUCAUACUUGGCCAACCCUUGGCAUCUAGUUUGAAAUUGAUACUAUCCCACUAAUAUCCACCCUGUGACUACUAUUAUUUUGCCCACAACUGUGAUUAUGCACUGUGUACGGUUAUGAAUGAAUGAAGUUCACACACACUCGCACACUGGCUCUCACCUACACGUGCAGCUACCCUACCCACACAUACAACUCGUGUUUGCUUCGUCGGUGUGGUUUUGGUCACAUUAUUUCCGGCUGGCGGCUUUUGGCUGGGUUUUUAUUUAUAGCUGGGGCGUCGGAACUUCUUCUUCAUCAGCAGCGUAGUCUUCUGCCUACUUACGGCUCUUCACCGGCUGCUUCUUCUCUGCCUUUCGUCCCAACAUGUUGCACACUUAAAAAAAUCUGACUGUCAUGCACUACAAAUUCCAAAAGCAUUUUAAAGUGAGAACUAUUUUACCGAAGGAAUACAAUUUGUGUACUUCCAAUUCAAAUCUUCGAAGAUUCGAAUUUUUUGUCCAAUUACUUCCAAUUUCCAAGUGACUUUUCUCUCUGUGUGCUUGUAUGUUGGCCACUCAAAAAAUGCAGUUGGCAGCACUUCCCCAUUUGGAAGCACCGGAAGUGAGCGGAAAUGCUCGCACACUCGCAUUAGUCACUUUUGUUUUCACUUCUUGAGACACCCGCCCGCGCCAUGUGUCCCAUAUAUCCCCACAAAUGCACGCAUAUACAUACAUAUAUCCCCACUUUAGCUUCCGUUGAUAAAACCCAGUCCCGCGACCUCCCGUCCCGAUCCCACUGGCUGCUAUUUAUGGCGAAAGUGUUUGGUGGAGUUUGUUAUUGUUGGGCCCCCGAGUUCAAUAGUGCUUUGAACUCUAGCUGCCCCGUCCCCGUCCCCGUCCCGUCUCUCUCGCACCCCUCUUGCCGUCUCUUUCGUUUCAUGUGUGUCUGACUCUUUCUGGCUGGGAAUGCAUCGAAAAUAGAGCGGCAAAUCGUCUGGCUGCCUCUGCUUCUGCUGCUGCUGCUUUUGCUGCUCUUGCUGCUUUGGCUUUGGCUUUAGCUUUAGCUUCAGCUAUAGCCGUGGCGAAAAAGGGCGAAUGAAUGGGUCUCAGAUCAGGAAAGGCGGCGGCGGUGGCGGCGACGACGACGAUGGUGGGAGGGGCACUACUUCCGCCGCGAGGCUUACGCAAAAAGACGUUAAAUUUAUGAAUAUGAAUGAGCCUCCUCCACUCGCAGCGAUCGCCGCUCGUCCCCACGCUGCACUCACAGGGCAUGGAGGCCCCGAAACUGGGCCAAAUGUCAUUAAUACAUCAGAUCCGCACAUGCGAGCGGGAAGCAAAUCAUGCGUUGACAGCGGGGACCACGCAAAUAGUGACGAAGGGGGGAACUCUCGUAGCAUCUAGUAGGCCGGGCAGCAUUGGCCGGGGCGACGCCCACAUUUGGAGCGGAUUCCAAACUCCGACGACGACUGCUACUCCUACUUGGUCACAUCCACAUCCGAUUGCAGCCAGUUUGUUGUUGGUUGGCCGAGGAAUGUGCUAUUAUUAUGCCAACCGAGCGAAGAGAGAUCGCUUGGCCACUCCACGAUUUUCUGCAUCCGCCUCGCGGGAAUGCGAAUGCCACAGAACGGGGUGGGGUGGGGUAUAUGCUGCUUAGGGAGUUUACUAUAUAGUUAUAUAUUUGAAGAUUACUGGAAGACAUUGAAUGGUGCUCGAUACAAAUCACUUAUGUAUAUAACGCCUGGUCAGAACAAAAGUACGGCUCUGGGCCAGUGACACGGACUUGGGAAGAGACAGAGAUGCGGAUGCAACUAUCCAACUAGACUACGGCCACAAAGGCGGGCGCUGGCCAGUGCAUUCAACUGGAAUUUGGGUCGGGUGGCGUGGCAAGAUGCAAGCGGCAAGACGCUCGAAUGCGCUUUCUUCCACAGCCAUAGCCACAUCCACAUCCACUGCCAUUUCCAUAUCCACUCCUGCUCCGGUUCCUGCGCCUCCCCCAAGUUCCCCCUUUCAUUAUCAUCGGGUUCAUUCAGGAGGGAAAUGGGGACUGGUGGGUGGGGCGGCGUCCGUCGGGCGGUUCGUUAGCGGGCCAAUUGUUGUCACUACUGCCUCUGUUUUUCUUUCUUUUUUUUUGCCUUUCAAUUGUGUGACUUUGUGGCGCUGCCCAACACUUGUAUGCUAAUGCAACAGCCUUCGCUUUCCCAGCACAGUGGGACCAGACAAGCUGUCACCGAACAAAGCAUAUGAAAAUAGAGCUAUGUUUUUUGAUAUCCUUUGGGACCUCUGUACAUCUGGCAGAUCGUCGUAGGAAUUCUUUCUGACCGGACAUCAGCUUUUACCCAUGCGAGUACCAAUCCGACCCACUGUGCCUCCCCAUUGCCUCAAUUGCAGUUGCAGUUGAUGGCUCUCGAGUGUGCGUGUGCCCAUUUGCAGCGGCGUCAGCGUCAGCGGCUUAUCUCCUCCAACCUGGCGGCCACUGCACCACUGCACCACCGUGCAAAUGCAACUGCAACUGCGAGUGCAACUGAAGAGCCACUGUUAAUUUUGCCAAGUUUUUUGCUGCCCAGUUUUUGCUGCUGUGCAAGUCUCUCAUGCAUAAAAUUGUACACGACAUAAUUUUUCAUGAAAUGGCUGGGAUCCUCCCGGUGCGGCGUCGUUGUCGACGUCUCUUUCCGACGUCUAACCAAGCCGAGUGGUACCAGUACUACUAUAUAGCCACCGGCUAUAUCCAUAUCCACAUCCACAACCACGUCCACGUCCAUCCCGUUGCCGUUGUUUUGGGCAGGUUCGGUGCACUUUUUGCCGGCUGACCGCGCUCACUCGAGUAGAAAUUAUGUGCAAUUUGUCUAGCCAGGGGUCUGGUAUCUAGUCGCUAGUCGCUAGACUCUAGACUCUACAACAGUCUACAGUUCGAUUCCGAUUCCAUUUCACUCCGCCCCGUACGGUUCCACAUAAAGGAAGUUCGGUGGUAAAGGGUUCGGGUUUUACUAUUGUUUUUGGAUUGAAUUAUUUAUGUAAGUUCAAAAUGCAAUGGUAAACAUAACCACCACUCUGUUACUUGAUACAAUUGAUAUAAGAUGAUGUAUGUAUGUACAUACAUACAUAUGUAUGUAUGUUUCGCUGCCUCUAGUUUCUCCAAGUGCAUUACUGCUUCUUAAUGAUCGGUGGGCUGUAUGCGCAUCACGUGCUUCCUAUUAGAUCGCGGGUAUUAUCAUUAGGUUCGGUGCGGUGUGCUUCGGUUCGGUUCGGUUCGGGCCGACUUUCGACCAGGCCAAAAGCAAUUACACCGAAAGGGGGAAUUCUUUUGCCAUCGAAUCGGAUCGCAUCUACCGUACGAUCGCUGACCAUGCAGUCGGCUGGGAAUGGAAAUGGGUAUGCGAAUGGGAAGGAAAACGGUAAUGCCAGUGCCAGUGCCAGUCGCUCCACGUCAUAGGUGCUCCUCAAGUGGUGGUAUAUCGCGGCCCUGCUGAUAAGUUGUAUUAAUUAUUUUUAUGGUCUUGACGUUGCUCCGUUGAUGUUGUAAAUAGUACACACAGUCGGUCGAAAGUCCAAGAAGCUUUCGAUUGGGAAAUCUUGCUUGGUUUUCCCUUUGUUUUUCAAUUUUCUUCCAGAGGGAGAAGAGGAACAGAACUCAAUUUCCGCCUGAGGCCGACUCUUUUCCACCCGGUAAGUGCCAGGCAUGUGACUCAAUCUUGAGUAUUUUCGUACCCUUGGCGCAUGGUUGUGGUGGGGCUACGGCCAUGGCAUCACAUGUCAUUUAUAGUUUGGCCUUUGUAUGGGCCUACCGUCGUCGGCCUGUUGAUAAGCCGUAGAUUGAGCGCGUGCUUUGUGACUGGGCUGCUUGGGUCUGGUUGCUCCGGGCCUCAUUCCGCUUCUACCGAGGGGUCCACAGGUGUGUGUACACUUUCGAAAUUCCAGAAAUUCUUGCGUCAAGUAGCCGCCCCGAAAAGCUUAUCACUCAGACGAUCGUCCACUGAUUCCUGUGUUACUCCACUGGAGGGCCGCGAAAGCGAGGAAAGCUUGUCAAUGGAUGGCAUUGAUACGGGACAGUUGGCUGGAUUGAUUGGGUUGAUUGUGGGCCAUCGUAAAUACACCUGGCGCCCGGAAUUCAGGGAAUAGCUAAUCAGAAAGGUGCAAAGGCUUAACCAAAUAGAAUUUAAUGAAUUCGUGGUAUUUAUAGAAAGAAGGGGCAUAAAUAGAACAGCUUUAUAUUAUUAGAUAAAAUCUAGUUAAUUUAAAGAUCUUUAAAGAUCUCCACGUAAAUUUUCGAAUUUCGAAAAAAAUCUAGUUACCAGACCACAAAAUCAUAACACAAUUUUCGAGUUGCAUUCCUAUUAAGAUCUAUAUCCAGAUUUAAAUCUAAACAGAAAGUACUUCUAGCUACUGAAAACCACGAUCAAAUCGGGUCUGAUUUAUUUCCGUUUUCGGGAUAUUUCCGAGCCAGUUGGGGAUUGUCCCAUUUGGCAUUUGAUAUGCAUGCAGCCGACCGAUACAACACUCCCCCGCUUUUGGACCCAGUAGAUCCCCCCAGCGAUCUGCGGCCAUAAAUAACCAGUAAAGCCUAUGGAAUUUCCUAUAAAUAAGUUCAUGACGAAUGUAACAAAAAUUCCCCGAGCAACCUUAGCCCCGCGCCCUUCUUUACAAACGUUUGUGUGUGUGUGUGUUGUAAAUGACCUCGUUCACAUAAAGUUCAGAAAUUCCAUUUACAAACUUGUAAUUGAAAAAAUCCAUACACACACGAGCGAGAUUGUCUAGAGACAAAGUCAAACACGUUGGAAUUUUUGUUUUUUUUACCGUUCAAUGACGAAUUUUACAGAGUGUGUGUGUGUGUGUACGUUGUUUACGAAAAACAAAAAACAGAACGCCACCAGCUACAAACACACGAAGAAAAACAAAAUAAAAAUACCGAAACGAAAAUUCCAAAAAGACACUUACGAAAGCCCCACAGCACUUUUUAUUGUUCCGUAGAUUACAACAUAUAGGAAAACGCUAGAAGCGCUGAAGAAUUUUCGGGGGCGAGAAGAAGAGUGCGCUACACUCCGAUAUAUCGGUAUACUGAUGUGACAAAAUGCAAAAGUAGCACAGAUUCAAAUGCAGAUAGGGAUACUCUUCUCGCCGGCUUGGAAGAAGAAGGCGGCUGGAAGAGGAGCGACUGGAAGGGGCGGGCAGUGUCGGUUUGUUUGUGGAAUGCCGUUUUGUAAGUUUCUUAUGCAUGCGCCUUCAAACAUAGUUCGGCAUCGAAACUUUCUAGCACACCGACACACAUACGAACGCGAUCCAGCCGACACACACACACGCACGCAGCCACACACUUAAGCGACUUUCGAAAGGUACAACUUUUAACGAAGUCGCUGCCUCAGCCGCUGCUCAGCCGACGCCACUGCCGCUGCCGCUGCCGCCGCCGCUGCCUCUGUCGACUUCGAAUUCCAACGCCAAGAUGAAAGAUCGGCGCAAAAGAAAAGAAAUAUUCAUUCAGUAAAAUUUCAUAGCUGCAGCCGCAUGGUUGUGCCGCUCUCGCCUGCUCUUGCUUUUCGCGCAACAAACCGAAACGAGAAACACAUAAAUAUCAAAGUGAACACUAGCGUACAUAUAAAAACUUUAAAACUAAACUUAACUUAACUUGACCAACAUGAGCAACAAAUGAACACGGGAAAGCGGUUCCAGCGAAGAGGUUACAAGGAGAGCAGACACAACCGCAUUCCAGAAAGUUUAAAUAACGCUGGAAGAAGGGGGAAAGUGGAAAACUAAACUCGAACUCGAACUCAGUGUGCCAGUGUAUGUGUGUGGAAUGCAGAAGAGGAAGAAGCAGCAGCAGCAGAAUAAGCAACUAAUAGAAAAUAUGUCUUCAAACUGGUUUUUCGGUUUUUAGACUGUCGUCGUCGGCCAAUCGGGUUCCAUUGACAUCCGAACGAAAAAAAUAAUGCCUAACCUUCGAUGGGAACACUCCGUGAGUCAUGCGACUGAGCGUGGGUUUUUGAGACCCGUUUCAUUCUUCCCGACUCGACGAUCCUAACCUUCACUGGGAACAGGAGUUAGCCGCCAGAACGUGAAUGGGAACAGAAUCGGGAACGGGAACAGUCAUAAAAGUUGCAUCACUCAGCACAAAAAGACGAAGAGGCGGGCAGACGGAGACACAAACAAGUCAACCACCAGCAUAGAAUGCGGCUGCCAGACAGGCGAGACGGCAAUAGUAGUGGCGGCAAGAAAAGGCGCGACAAGCAGAAGAACCGUUUUACUGAGAAAAGAAGAGCGUGCACGCGGCGUCAGGGUGCGAGCGGGAUAGCAAAACAGGCAAAGGGAAAAGGGACCGAAAAACACUGAGAGAAAUAAGAGUAAGGUGAACAUGAAAAUUAAGAUCUUAACUGAACUCGUAUAUUCUUUGCAGCAAUACUUUGGUUAAACUACAGUCAAUGAACAUUUUUUUUAACAUCGUAAGAAAAUGUACCAUCUAUGUUUACAAGGUUAAGAGUCGUUUUUCCUUACCCUCAUAAUAUCGUAAUUCGAGCGAUAUUAAACGUAAUAUUUUUUCACAGUGUCAUCGGUCAUUCUCUUCGCUCUGACUUAUCCCGUUUGUUUUGCAGUUCCUCGUCGGCAUUCCGUUGUUUCGUCCGAAAACCAAAUUCAGCAGAAAAAGAGCUCUUCAGCGGGAAUAUCGAUAUGAUAUCGAUGGGAGAACCGAUUUUUCGGGCCCAUUAAUUUGCAUACUCGAAAGACGAAGGAAUUACAGGAAAGGGCAGCGAGCGGUGCGUUUUUAUACCACAUCAUAAAUGUCAAUUAAAAAGAUAUUUGUAUUGUCAAGUUGCGCCCGUCGCACCGCCAUAAAAUGUGUUAUAAAAAAGCUAACGGUUAAUGCUACGGUCUGCUGAAGUUCAUGUGUGGAAGAGUGGAAAAAAAAAUGAGAAAAGAGGGAAAGAAACAAAAACUAUUCGCCGCUCAAUAGAAAGUUUGUGUUAAUAAAAAAUACCUAAAAACUUAAACACACAAAAUAUGUGUGUCGAAAUAUGUAUGGCAGCAACAAAAAAGAGUGAAUGAAAAAAUGUUGACCUAAUUUUCGGGGCCCAGUUGGGGUUGUUGUUUUUGUUUUUGGUCUUGUUUAUUUCAGCAACGUCGACGGCGGCAGAGGCGGCGGCGCAUACUUUCCCACACAGCUUCCAGCUCAUUCCCAUUCCAGAUUCCAGGCCAUUCCCAGCAGCGUGUGAUCAUCGCGGGAGCAGCGCCACCGUUCCCUUCGCACGCUUUCCUCUCCGUCCCGCUGGAACGACGUCUAAAUUAAUGAUUGUUAAAUGGAGAUUGUGUAUUUUAUGUCAGUGUGUGUGUGUAUGUGCUAGGCACUCCACACACCAAUGCAGUUGGAGAAAUACGGGCGCGCCUGCGCAGAAACUAUUUAUAAAGGUAUGUAAUCCCCAAUUUGAUAACUCACAGGCAUUUUACAGUUCACGUCCACCCACCCAAAAAAAAAAAAGCAAAAACUCAGCGCCACUAAUUGUGUGCUAUUUUUAUUAAACAAAAAAAAAAAAAUAAAAAACGAAAAGAAAAGAAGGAAAGAAUGAAAGACUAAAACCUUAAGAUCAUUUUUUUCUCUCGGCGCGUGUGAAAAUAUUUAGGCUAGCCAAGGUAUUUUUAUUCUCGCCUCUUGUGGAUCUUUUGAGUCCCUCGUUAUUCGCUUCUUUGUGGUCUCUCUAGCUUUUUAAAGUGUUAACUGGCAGCAUAUAAUUUCGGUCGACUUGACAUACAUUAUAAUUAUAGUUAUUAAAUGUGAGCCAGGCACGUGCGUGAAAAACGCUCAGAUGCAGAUGUUGAUGUUAUAAAGACCACGAUCGAGUGAGGAAAAACCGAAAACGAACGAAAAGCGUUUGUAACUCCAAUGAUUUGACUACGAAACCGGUUUUCGAUUUGGUUUGACUGUUUUUCAUACAAGUGAGAUCAUUUUGAAAGCUGAUUUUGUCAAUGAAUACCACAUUCCACAUUCCGAUGGUCGAUUUUUGUUGUUUGGUGUGCCUACACAGAUAUAGCGAUAUCGUGUAACAAAGCUUUGAACUUAUGCCGACCGAUCCAAGUCGGAUCGAAAUGGGGAUGGAGAUGGAGAUGGGGCUGGGAAAUCGAAGGUGAGUUGCAGUGCCAUGGCACUUAUAAAAACUUAUUCAUGGAUUUAAAAGGUUGAAAAGAUUUCACUACAAUUAUAUUCAUAAAAAUAUUUGUUAUCUUUCCCUAGUAUUAAUACAAAUUUUUCGAAAAAGAUACCGAUGCUGACCACAUAUUAAAUCUGCCAAAAACUAGACUCUAAUCAUGUAUUCUCUAUACCAUACCUUGUGAUAUUCUCUUUUAAUUCCAUUAAUAACAAAAUAAAAUAUUAAGGAUAAAUGCUAAUUCCAUAGAAAUGGACAGCAUGCUGCUGGAUGGAUUUUGCUCAGUGUAAGAGCCGCGCCUGCGCCGCUGCUGUAGCUACAUUGUCUCUAUUGCUCUUUUCCGACUGUCAUCCCAAGGCGAGUUGGAUGUUGGACGUGGAGAAUGAAAAUCGGAGUCAAUGAGAAGGCCUGCUUGGGUAAACAGCAUUCCAAGCAUACCAGCGGCGACCGAAUCUAAACAACUUGAUGUUGGUAUUUUAUGCUUUGUUUGCCCAUUACAAAAGCCCUUUUGAUUCGUAAACGCGGCGCUGAUAACGCUGCGGAGACGAUAAGCGAUGUAUGUGUGUAGUUAGUUGUGGGUAUAGUGCGAGUGAGUACGUAACCCGGUCGGGGCGACCCACCUGGGCAAUGAACUCCGGCCGUCCGACCGUCCGACGGUUUUUUCAUUCAUGAAACGAUCGACAAAGUGGAGCACGUUGGACUGGACAGAGGUGGAGAGCUAUACGGCCGAAAAGUCGUGAUAAACAUAUUUACCAAUUGAUUAUUUUCCAACACAAACACGCGUUGACUUACAUAAGUGCCAACAUAUAUCGCUUAGUAUGUAUGUAUGUGGCUUCUGGCAUAUAGCACAUUCCAAGGUGCUAAUCAGCAUGCACACACACAUCGAUUUCCACAUAGGUCCACGUACAUGCGAUGGAUUCGGAUUUGGAUUUGGAUUUGGAAUAGGAAUAGGAAUCGGAAUCGGAAUCGGAAUAGGCAUGGGCAAGGGCACUUGGAUUUGGGGUGACUUUCUAAAUGGCCCGUGGCAGCUGCAGCUGUUUCUUCCCCACUUCCCGGUUCCGAUUUCCUAGAAUUCAAUAUAAACUCGUAUGUUAUGCAAACUGGAGCGACGACUCCCUGGAAUGCCUUGUGUAACUAAAUUUAAACGCCUUAUAGGCCCGAGAUGUGCCACUUCACAUGGCGAUUUAGUGGGCAGUUAUUGUGCUGUGCCUCAUUAGGAUGGAAGAUCAAAGCCGAGAGAUAUCCGAAAACAAGUAUUUGUCGGCCCGUUUAUGUCUACUUAAAUGAUGGAGCUUAUCUAUAAAGCUCCACAGUUUUUAGUCUUACAUAAUUUGCAUUUACUUUGUAAUCAUUACUUAAAUGUAUCAUCCCAGAACUAUUGAAUUGUAUUGUAUUACAUGUUGGAUUUUAAGAGAUGUUGAAAAUAAACGUGCAUCCGGUGUGCAAAUUAAUCGCUAA